CUCAAGUGAUUAUGUCGGAAUGAGUAGACGAUAAAACGGGUGAGAAUCCCGUUCGCCGCAAACCUAAGGUUUCCUGGGGAAGGUAAAUCCGCCCAGGGUUAGCCGGUACCUAACACAAGGCCGAAAGGCGUAGUGGAUGGACAGCAGGUUAAUAUUCCUGCGCUCACCGUGCAAUAAGGGACGCUGAGAUCGAGUCCAGCAGGCUUAGUAGAUUGCCUCAGGGCGUUUAAGAUCCCGAUAUGGAUGAGAUCACAGCCAAGAAAACCGCACGGUAGCCGUACUAAAACCGACACAGGUAGGUGAGAUGAAUAUUCUAAGGCGCUCGAGAGAACUCUCGUGAAGGAACUCUGCAAAUUAAAUCCGUAACUUCGGGAAAAGGAUUGCCCCACUCCGGUGGGGUCGCAGUGAAAAGGUUCUAGCGACUGUUUACUAAAAACACAGGUCUGUGCGAACACGUAAGUGGCGGUAUACAGACUGACGCCUGCCCGGUGCUGGUAAGUUAAGGAAGAGGGUUAGCCCGUAAGGGUGAAGCUCGCAACCGAAGCUCCAGUAAACGGCGGCCGUAACUAUGACGGUCCUAAGGUAGCGAAGUUCCUUGUCGGGUAAGUUCCGACCUGCAUGAAUGGCGUAACGACUGGAACACUGUCUCCACGAGAGACUCGGUGAAAUUGUAGUUGUCGUGAAGAUGCGACAUACCCGCAGCUAGACGGAAAGACCCCGUGAACCUUAACUGUAGCUUGGUAUUGGGUUUAGACCCAACAUGCGUAGCGUAGGUGGGAGACUGUGAAACGAGGGUUUCGGCCCUUGGUGAGUCGUCGAUGAAACACCACCCUUGUUGUGUUUGAAUUCUAACAACGUCCUAUGAAUCUAGGCGUCGGACAGUGCUAAGUGGGCAGUUUGAUUGGGGCGAUCUCCUCCUAAAAGGUAACGGAGGAGUGCAAAGGUACCCUCAGCCCGGUUGGCAAUCGGGCAACGAGCGUAAACGUAGAAGGGUGCUUGACUGCGAGACCGAUAGGUCGAGCAGGGACGAAAGUCGGCGUUAGUGAUCCGGUGGUCCCGAAUGGAAGGGCCAUCGCUCAACAGAUAAAAGGUACUCCGGGGAUAACAGGCUUAUCUCCUCUGAGCGUUCAUAGCGGCGAGGAGGUUUGGCACCUCGAUGUCGGCUCAUCACAUCCUGGGGGUGGAGAAGCUCCCAAGGGUUCGGCUGUUCGCCGAUGAAAGUGGUACGUGAGCUGGGUUUAGACCGUCGUGAGACAGGUCGGUCCCUAUCUGCUGUGGGCGUAGGAAAUUUGCGGGGCUUUCUCCCUAGUACGAGAGGACUGGGAGGGACGCAACUCUGGUGUGCCAGUUGUGACGCUAGUCGCAUCGCUGGGUAGCCACUUGCGGAAUGGAUAAACGCUGAAAGCAUAUAAGCGUGAAACUUCCCCCUAGAUCAGAUUUCCAUGAAGACUCCAGGGAGACUACCUGGUCGAUAGGCCGGGUGUACAAGUUCAGCAAUGAACUCAGCUAACCGGUACUAACAGUCAACCGUUUGGCCAA
Molecule: ribosomal RNA, 1539 nt
Filed under: metagenome
Description: bacterial LSU rRNA
Rfam family: Bacterial large subunit ribosomal RNA
Source: RNAcentral